RNAcentral lists this long non-coding RNA (1124 nucleotides) under Chrysolophus pictus (golden pheasant). RNAcentral's name for it is "lncRNA (ENSCPIG00010008069.1)". The record is from RNAcentral. Lineage: Eukaryota; Metazoa; Chordata; Aves; Galliformes; Phasianidae.
GCUAUUGUUUCUCAGCCUUAAAAAAUAAAAUAUCAUGGUCAUAAACAUGCCAUGGAAAGUUCUCAAGGAAAACCAGUCUGGUCUCUUGAUGGCAGGGCAGAGUAUCAGGGAGGAGAACUAAAAGCUCAGUUAUUUAAUUAAAACUCAGCAUAGGCAUUUGCUUAAGGACCGAGUUUCAAAGCAAAACUAGCAUGCUGCUCCAUGUACUCCAACCUCAGUCAUGCUGUAAGGAUACCCAUGCCAAUUUUAAACUGCCUUAAUUCAAGUGACAAGUCUCAACAGAGGCUCAUGAGCCCUGAAAUACAGGCCUACUGUCAGGCCCUGCUAACGCUGGGCAGGCACUGAUGCACAAGCAGUGGUGCAAAUGUGAAGCUGUUUGGUCAAAUUAGUACUGAGACUGGAAUAUGCAGAAAAAAUACAACCUGACAGUAUGUGAAUUUUAUUGGAAAAAACUCAGCAAGAUUAUUCUUGUUCUCCUUGCUGUUCACUAUGAGUAAGGCUGUGUACAACCAAACUGGUAACGUCACAGGAGAAAUGUAGCUUAAUGAUUUCUGAGAAUCUUAGACCCCAGCCUAGGAAUCAAAUUUAACCCUUGUGCUAAGCAAUGCCUAUUUUCGAAUUUCAGUGGAAUUACAUUUGUUUAUGUUUAGAGCUGAAUGUAAUCCACUACUGUUUGUGCCCUUGGAAAGGGAUGUCCUAUGUUUACUUCUGAAGCUCCAUGGUUUAAGCAGGAUCUUUCAACAAGUUCUCAGCCAAGAUUGUGGACAAAACCUGCAUACAUUAUGUUACUGACCUAUUGCUAAAACCCACAGAAACCUUAGUCAUUUUGUUGCUAAUCUCUCUUACUUUAGAGGAAGCUGGGGAGGUUAUAGCUGGGUACACCUCUGCAAUUACACAGACGCUGAUGGUUGUUUCAUCUCCCAGAAUUACAGAGAUGGCCACUGAAGAUCAUUUACAAACUCAGGACUCUUAUGUGCUUCAUGUGAUGGGAGAAGUCUACAUUUGCAAACAGAACUGGCUGUCAACCCUGGAGCUUACACCCACUGCUGGCAACUGAAUAUUCAAAAAGGUAGACCAAAGAAACCUCUAGUGAGCAUCUAAAUAAACGAAUCUGUAAGGCAACA